Molecule: ribosomal RNA, 497 nt
Filed under: uncultured bacterium
Lineage: Bacteria
Description: partial 16S ribosomal RNA
Rfam family: Bacterial small subunit ribosomal RNA
Source: RNAcentral
GAUGAACGCUGGCGGCGUGCCUAAUACAUGCAAGUCGAGCGAACGGACGAGAAGCUUGCUUCUCUGAUGUUAGCGGCGGACGGGAGAGGAACACGUGGAUAACCUACCUAUAAGACUGGGAUAACUUCGGGAGACCGGAGCUAAUACCGGGUAAUAUUUUGAACCGCAUGGGUCAAAAGUGGAAGACGGUCUUGCUGUCACUGAUAGAUGGGUCCGCGCUGCAUUAGCUAAUUGGUAAGGGAACGGCUUACCAAGGCAACGAUGAAUAGCCGACCUGAGAGGGUGAUCGGCCACACUGGGACUGGGACACGGUCCAGACUCCUACGGGAGGCAGCCGUAGGGAAUCUUCCGCGAUGGGCGAAAGCCUGACGGAGCAACGCCGCGUGAGUGAUGAAGGUCUUCGGAUCGUAAAACUCUGUUAUUAGGGAAGAACAUAUGUGUAAGUAACUGUGCACAUCUUGACGGUACCUAAUCAGAAAGCCACGGCUAACUCCGUG